GUGGGGAAUAUUGGGCAAUGGGCGCAAGCCUGACCCAGCAACGCCGCGUGAGGGAAGAAGGCUUUCGGGUUGUAAACCUCUGUCCUUGGUGACGAAAAAAAUGACGGUAGCCAAGGAGGAAGCCCCGGCUAACUACGUGCCAGCAGCCGCGGUAAUACGUAGGGGGCGAGCGUUGUCCGGAAUUACUGGGCGUAAAGGGUGCGUAGGUGGCCUUUUAAGUUGGAUGUGAAAUACCCGGGAUUAACUUGGGGGGUGCAUCCAAAACUGGGAGGCUAGAGGGCAGGAGAGGAAAGCGGAAUUCCUAGUGUAGCGGUGAAAUGCGUAGAUAUUAGGAGGAACACCAGUGGCGAAGGCGGCUUUCUGGACUGUAACUGACACUGAGGCACGAAAGCGUGGGGAGCAAACAGGAUUAGAUACCCGAGUAGUCC
This 428-nucleotide ribosomal RNA is filed under the name uncultured bacterium. RNAcentral describes it as "partial 16S ribosomal RNA". It matches the Rfam family "Bacterial small subunit ribosomal RNA", at positions 354 to 796 of the family's 1533-position model. The record is from RNAcentral.